AAAAAGGGGUCCUGUUUUGUUAAUGUGAGCAAAUCAAAUUACAAGCAUCUGGUAAGUUCACAUCAACCAUAGGCCAAAAGAACUGGACAAAUGCUACUACAGCUGCAUCAAGUGAAUUCCCUUUCUCCAAUCCAACUCAACCGCUAAAACUACUACAGCAGGCUCUCUCUAGCUCUCAUGGUCAAAGUUAUAAUAUGCUUUCUAGACUCUAGCAUGAAUCUAUGCCACUAAUUUCUAGACUCUAGCAUGAAAAACUUGGUAUGAUGAAAGAAGCAAUCCUCUAUUUCCAAGAUAUCCAGUGAGGGUAUAUCUCUCACUCUACCAAAAUCUGUUGAUUCUUCUUAGCUGGCUAGAAGUUCCAAAUGGAAGUUG
This 372-nucleotide unclassified non-coding RNA is filed under the name Hevea brasiliensis (rubber tree). The record is from RNAcentral. Lineage: Eukaryota; Viridiplantae; Streptophyta; Magnoliopsida; Malpighiales; Euphorbiaceae.